RNAcentral lists this ribosomal RNA (459 nucleotides) under uncultured bacterium. RNAcentral's name for it is "partial 16S ribosomal RNA". It matches the Rfam family "Bacterial small subunit ribosomal RNA", at positions 338 to 795 of the family's 1533-position model. The record is from RNAcentral.
CCUACGGGAGGCAGCAGUGAGGAAUAUUGGUCAAUGGCCGGAAGGCUGAACCAGCCAAGCCGCGUGAAGGACGAAGGUGCCAAGCAUUGUAAACUUCUUUUGUCAAGGGACAAAAUCAGGCUCGAGAGCCUGACCGAGGGUACUUGAAGAAAAAGCAUCGGCUAACUCCGUGCCAGCAGCCGCGGUAAUACGGAGGAUGCGAGCGUUAUCCGGAUUUAUUGGGUUUAAAGGGUGCGUAGGCGGACUGUUAAGUCAGCGGUAAAAGCCCGGGGCGCAACCCCGGCGAGCCGUUGAAACGGGGUGUCUAGAGAGGGCGAGAGGUAUGCGGAAUGCGCGGUGUAGCGGUGAAAUGCUUAGAUAUUGCGCAGAACUCCGAUUGCGAAGGCAGCAUACCGGCGGCGAACUGACGCUGAGGCACGAAAGCGUGGGUAUCGAACAGGAUUAGAUACCCGAGUAGUC